AGGAUAUGCCCCUGUCAUGGUUCCCCGGAGCAGUCGACCUGCGCCCCCGGGGCUAAGAGGGAAUCCGGUGCGCCCAUGGCAAUGCCGGAGCUGCCCCCGCAACUGUAAGCGGCGAGCCGCUGUCCACGAUGUCACUGAGGCGAAAGCCUCGGGAAGACGGACAGCGGCGACGACCCGCAAGCCAGGAGACCUGCCACGACGAAUAACGUCCA
This 212-nucleotide non-coding RNA is filed under the name Hyphomicrobiales bacterium. The record is from RNAcentral. Lineage: Bacteria; Pseudomonadati; Pseudomonadota; Alphaproteobacteria; Hyphomicrobiales.